GUGGUGGCUCAGAGGCAGAGUGCUUUCCUGGCAUGUGUGAGGCCCUGAGUUCAAUUCUCAGCACCACA
This 68-nucleotide transfer RNA is filed under the name Ictidomys tridecemlineatus (thirteen-lined ground squirrel). RNAcentral's name for it is "Spermophilus tridecemlineatus (thirteen-lined ground squirrel) tRNA". It matches the Rfam family "tRNA". From Rfam's summary of the family: Transfer RNA (tRNA) molecules are approximately 80 nucleotides in length. Their secondary structure includes four short double-helical elements and three loops (D, anti-codon, and T loops). The record is from Rfam by way of RNAcentral. Lineage: Eukaryota; Metazoa; Chordata; Mammalia; Rodentia; Sciuridae.